CAAAGAUUAAGCAUUGGCAUGUG
RNAcentral lists this unclassified non-coding RNA (23 nucleotides) under Acacia ryaniana. Its description in RNAcentral is "partial small subunit rRNA". Lineage: Eukaryota; Viridiplantae; Streptophyta; Magnoliopsida; Fabales; Fabaceae. The record is from RNAcentral.